RNAcentral lists this ribosomal RNA (461 nucleotides) under uncultured bacterium. Its description in RNAcentral is "partial 16S ribosomal RNA". It matches the Rfam family "Bacterial small subunit ribosomal RNA", at positions 338 to 795 of the family's 1533-position model. The record is from RNAcentral.
CCUACGGGAGGCAGCAGUGAGGAAUAUUGGUCAAUGGACGCGAGUCUGAACCAGCCAAGUAGCGUGAAGGAUGACUGCCCUAUGGGUUGUAAACUUCUUUUAUAUGGGAAUAAAACAGGGUAUGCAUACCCUCUUGUAUGUACCAUAUGAAUAAGGAUCGGCUGACCCCGUGCCAGCAGCCGCGGGAAUACGGGGGAUGCAAGCGUUGUCCGGAUUUUUUGGGUUUAAAGGGUGCGUAGGCGGGGAGGUAAGUGAGCGGUGAAAUGCCCCCGCUUAACGGGGUGAAGUGCAAUUGAUACUGCCUUGCUGGAAUGCUGGUGCGGUGGGAGGAAUGUGUGGUGUAGCGGUGAAAUGCAUAGAUAUCACACAGAACACCGGUUGCGAAGGCAUCUCACGAAUCCGCGAUUGACGCUGAUGCGCGAAAGCGUGGGUAUCAAACAGGAUUAGAUACCCGAGUAGUC